Molecule: non-coding RNA, 83 nt
Organism: Bombina bombina (fire-bellied toad)
Lineage: Eukaryota; Metazoa; Chordata; Amphibia; Anura; Bombinatoridae
Source: the annotation of a RefSeq genome assembly
GCCAGGAUGGCUUAGUGGUUAAUGCAUUGGACUUAAGAUCCAAUGGACCUAUGUCUGCGUGGGUUCGUACCCCACUUCUGGUA